GAACUGCCCUAGCAUCAUUGUCAAAACCCAAUUGACUAGGUUCUAUCAUCAGGGACCUUUUAGAAUCAACUUGUCAAUUUCUGGAAAAAAGCCAAUGAAAACUAUUUGACCAUGAUUUCAUUGAAUCUCUAGGGACAUUUUUGAAGGAAGACUUGGCUGGGAAAAUUUGACUUAGAAGAACUUAGUGAUGUCUCGCAAAUAAGACAGAAGCAUUCGGUUUCGGAGCUAUCUCUUUAGAGUUAGGCUGAGGUAGCCACACAGUUCUUAGCUUAUAAAUCCCAGACA
Long non-coding RNA from Nyctereutes procyonoides (raccoon dog), 285 nucleotides. RefSeq lists it as uncharacterized. The record is from RefSeq and is a predicted model, not a curated record. The transcript is spliced from 3 exons. Lineage: Eukaryota; Metazoa; Chordata; Mammalia; Carnivora; Canidae.